Molecule: signal recognition particle RNA, 83 nt
Filed under: pig gut metagenome
Description: Bacterial small signal recognition particle RNA
Rfam family: Bacterial small signal recognition particle RNA
About the family: The signal recognition particle (SRP) is a universally conserved ribonucleoprotein involved in the co-translational targeting of proteins to membranes.
Source: RNAcentral
GGGGUCCUGCGCAAUGGAUGCCCGUGAACCUUGUCAGGACCGAGAGGGAGCAGCAAUAAGCGGUUCCGUCCGUGUGCCGCAGA